GCGGGAAUAGCUCAGCUGGUAGAGCGAUACCUUGCCAAGGUAUAGGUCGCGAGUUCGAGUCUCGUU
This 66-nucleotide transfer RNA is filed under the name Methylophilaceae bacterium. RNAcentral describes it as "tRNA-Gly". It matches the Rfam family "tRNA". Rfam says of the family: Transfer RNA (tRNA) molecules are approximately 80 nucleotides in length. The record is from RNAcentral. Lineage: Bacteria; Pseudomonadati; Pseudomonadota; Betaproteobacteria; Nitrosomonadales; Methylophilaceae.